UAGAUGCGAGAGUAGAGCAUAUCAAUAAGCGGAGGAAAAGAAACUAACAAGGAUUCCCUUAGUAACGGCGAGUGAAGCGGGAAGAGCUCAAAUCUGAAAUCUUCAAGGUUCUACCUUGACGAAUUGUAGUUUAAAGAAGUGUUUUCUGUUAGAGUUUGAGUAGAAAAGUUCUUUGGAAUAGGACAUCAUAGAGGGUGAGAAUCCCGUAUUUGGUUAUUCAUUCUAGCUUUGUGAUACACUUUCAAAGAGUCGGAUUGUUUGGGAAUGCAGUCCAAAAUGGGUGGUAAAUUUCAUCUAAAGCUAAAUAUUGGCGAGAGACCGAUAGCGAACAAGUACCGUGAGGGAAAGAUGAAAAGAACUUUGAAAAGAGAGUUAAACAGUACGUGAAAUUGUCAAAAGGGAAGCGUUUGACACCAGUGUUGUUUUUCCGAAAAUCAAUUACGAAUGGCUUGAUUUUGUGUUGUAUUGACCUUAUCAGCUUUCUUCACUUUUUUCGAGUCUUUCUUAAUGCACUUUUCGGUUAACAAGUCAACAUCAAUUUCUUUUGUUGUAAAAGAGUAUUCGGAAGGUGGCUUUCUUUUCGGAGAAAGUGUUUAUAGCCCUAUACUUCUACAAUCGGAGAGAUUGAGGUCUGCAGCGUAGAUCCUUCGGGGUUAGAUACAUUUGUGCUAAGUUGUAGCUUUUCAUAGACAACUUGUUGACUAUGUUUAGUCAUGCGGCUUACUCGCUUAGUGCUAUUUUACCUACGCUUAGGAUGUUGAGCGCAUGUCUCUCUCU
RNAcentral lists this ribosomal RNA (777 nucleotides) under uncultured Neocallimastigales. RNAcentral's name for it is "partial large subunit ribosomal RNA". It matches the Rfam family "Eukaryotic large subunit ribosomal RNA", at positions 22 to 616 of the family's 3401-position model. Lineage: Eukaryota; Fungi; Neocallimastigomycota; Neocallimastigomycetes; Neocallimastigales. The record is from RNAcentral.